Molecule: ribosomal RNA, 253 nt
Filed under: uncultured bacterium
Lineage: Bacteria
Description: partial 16S ribosomal RNA
Rfam family: Bacterial small subunit ribosomal RNA
Source: RNAcentral
UACGGGGGGGGCAAGCGUUGUUCGGAAUUACUGGGCGUAAAGAGCUCGUAGGCGGCUUGUUGCGUCGACCGUGAAAACCCGCGGCUCAACUGCGGGCUUGCGGUCGAUACGGGCAGGCUGGAGUUCGGUAGGGGAGACUGGAAUUCCUGGUGUAGCGGUGAAAUGCGCAGAUAUCAGGAGGAACACCGGUGGCGAAGGCGGGUCUCUGGGCCGAUACUGACGCUGAGGAGCGAAAGCGUGGGGAGCGAACAGG